Long non-coding RNA from Theobroma cacao (cacao), 1282 nucleotides. RefSeq lists it as uncharacterized. NCBI's taxonomy places the organism in Eukaryota, Viridiplantae, Streptophyta, Magnoliopsida, Malvales, Malvaceae. The record is from RefSeq and is a predicted model, not a curated record.
CCUCCUAAAAGUUUCCAUGCUGCUUUUUCCUGCCCCUUUCCAUGAUUCCACCAUGACUCCAAAACACGAAUUUUCUAGCUGUAGUGAAAAUGCUUUGGUCGAAGAUUGUCUUGCAAUUUUUUUUCUUUCAUUUAAAUGCUUGUAUUUCAGCAGGGGCAUUACAAGACCAAUAUCAUUUCUUCUUAACAAAGAUUGAUACCUACUGCCGUUGAAGAAGUAGUUGAUAUCUUUUUUUUUUCUUUUCUUUUUGUAAAUGCAUUUAAAAUAUGACCAGCAAGAAUACCAUUAUCUUUGUCUUGAAAAUUACCUCCUAGUUUCUUAUAAUUAAUUGAAACAUCGGAUGCAAGUGGGGAUGGUGCGGUUAGGGGUAUGUACGGGGAUAUCUUCCAAGCCAAGAUGCAUUGUCCUAAUCCCUGAAACUAUUAGUCAUUUCAGUCCUGUAAAAAGGUGAACUCCAAUCAUAACAUCAUCCUUUUUAAUCAUUCAAGGACCGAAUAGCUAGAGAAGUAAUUGCUUACUGAAGUCUUAUAUGAUUGUCAUUUGCCUUAGUAUGUAGAAAUUAUAACUUACAUAGGAUGUGCAAGCUUUGGCCCAGCAACUCUGUCCCCUCUUUAGGGGGAGUUGCUUCUACUUUAAUCUUUGGGGAUUUAACCCCAUUUCAUGGUAGAAAGAGAGACAAAAAGAGAAGACUUUUAGAACCAAUUCUGCAAGUAUGGAAAAGAACAGCAUUAGCUUGCUUUCUGUUUAUUAGAAUUACUGGUGAUGUGGUUCCUCAGUUAGAGUGCAGGGGCCGUUCACUUUUAUGUAAAGUCUGCAGUUAAUCAGUGUUAAAUGUUCUGUUCACAUUUGUGAAGUUGUACUAAAUUGUAACGCUUAUUCUGAAAGCGCUUUAACAGGCUUAAAUAUUUAUGUAGGAGUAUAAGUUUUCUUUCUUAGAUGAUAAUGUUUGCUUGUGAACAGGCCAAAGUACUCGGAUGGUAAUUGGUAGCGCAAAAUUUGUCGGCACAUGCAUGACUUUAAGUCGGAGUUGUUGCAUCCGGAGACACUCAUAGACAAGGUCAAUUGCUACAUUCCAAUUCAAAUUGGGAAGUCAUGUAUCAAUUUUCAUUCACAAUCUUCGUUGUUUUGCAUUGAAGAGAAAUAAGCUUCUCGGCUUAGACUUUAGAGGUGGUGGUUUCCAGCAUUUUGAUUAGGAGAAUCAGGCAUGUUUUAAUUUACUAAUGCUCAUGGUAUUUAGUACUUUCUCAGUUUAGCUUAAUGGAAAUUGUUCCUUAAAUCUUUA